AAAGAAAGCGUAAUAGCUCACUGGUCGAGUCGGCCUGCGCGGAAGAUGUAACGGGGCUAAACCAUGCACCGAAGCUGCGGCAGCGACACUCAGGUGUUGUUGGGUAGGGGAGCGUUCUGUAAGCCUGCGAAGGUGGCCUGUGAGGGUUGCUGGAGGUAUCAGAAGUGCGAAUGCUGACAUAAGUAACGAUAAAGCGGGUGAAAAGCCCGCUCGCCGGCAGACCAA
Molecule: ribosomal RNA, 225 nt
Filed under: Salmonella enterica subsp. enterica serovar Agona
Lineage: Bacteria; Pseudomonadati; Pseudomonadota; Gammaproteobacteria; Enterobacterales; Enterobacteriaceae
Description: partial 23S ribosomal RNA
Rfam family: Bacterial large subunit ribosomal RNA
Source: RNAcentral